Molecule: long non-coding RNA, 384 nt
Organism: Bubalus bubalis (water buffalo)
Lineage: Eukaryota; Metazoa; Chordata; Mammalia; Artiodactyla; Bovidae
Exons: 3
Source: RefSeq, a predicted model, not a curated record
GAGGAUAACGGGUGAGCGUGUGCUCAGCUGCUUAGUCGUGUCCGGCUCUUUACAACCCUGUGGACUGUAGCCCACCAGGCUUCUCUGUUCAUGGGAUUCUCCAGGCCAGAAUACUGGAUGCAAGUAGUCUAUAUAAAGAGACUUCCGUGCUCAGAAGAUGGUGUAUUCAGCUGUAGGACUACGUUCUACUUAAUUCUUGGAGACGUCAGUGGUAUGCCGAGAAAACAGACUCACAAGAGCUGGCCACCAUUAAGAGGUGUGGACAGAGAACUGAUGACAAAUGUUAAAAUCUCGUAAAAAGGAAAAAAAAGAAAACUACAGGCCAAUAUCACUGAUGAACAUAGAUGCAAAAAUCCUUAACAAAAUUCUAGCAAUCAGAAUCCA